CUUCGGGAGACAAGUACAGCGGCAAACGGGUGAGUAACGCGUGGGACAUCUACCCUGAUGAGGGGAAUAACUCUCCGAAAGGAGAGCUAAUACCGCAUAUACCGUUUUUAACGGGAAAGGCCUUCGGGUCGCAUCAGGAGGAGCCCGCGUCCGAUUAGCUAGUUGGUGAGGUAAUGGCUCACCAAGGCGACGAUCGGUAGCCGGUCUGAGAGGACGGACGGCCACACUGGGACUGAGACACGGCCCAGACUCCUACGGGAGGCAGCAGUGGGGAAUUUUGGGCAAUGGGCGCAAGCCUGACCCAGCAACGCCGCGUGGAGGAAGAAGGUUUUCGAAUCGUAAACUCCUGUCCCACGAGAAGAAGCCAGUGACGGUAUCGUGGGAGGAAGCCCCGGCUAACUCCGUGCCAGCAGCCGCGGUAAUACGGGGGGGGCAAGCGUUGUUCGGAAUUACUGGGCGUAAAGGGCGCGUAGGCGGUUUCGGAAGUCAAGGGUGAAAGCCCCGAGCUCAACUCGGGAAUUGCCUUUGAAACCACGGAACUGGAGUGUUGGAGAGGAAAGCGGAAUUUCCAGUGUAGCGGUGAAAUGCGUAGAUAUUGGAAGGAACAUCUGAGGCGAAGGCGGCUUUCUGGACAGACACUGACGCUGAGGCGCGAAAGCCAGGGGAGCGAACGGGAUUAGAUACCCCGGUAGUCCUGGCUGUAAACGAUGAACACUUGGUGUGGGGGUAUAAAGUCCCUCCGUGCCGAAGAUAACUCGAUAAG
This 763-nucleotide ribosomal RNA is filed under the name uncultured bacterium. Its description in RNAcentral is "bacterial SSU rRNA". It matches the Rfam family "Bacterial small subunit ribosomal RNA", at positions 78 to 864 of the family's 1533-position model. The record is from RNAcentral.